CCUACGGGAGGCAGCAGUGGGGAAUAUUGGGCAAUGGAGGAAACUCUGACCCAGCGACGCCGCGUGCGGGAUGAAGGCCUUCGGGUUGUAAACCGCUUUCAGUAGGGAAGAAGCGAAAGUGACGGUACCUACAGAAGAAGCACCGGCUAACUAUGUGCCAGCAGCCGCGGUAAUACAUAGGGUGCAAGCGUUGUCCGGAAUUAUUGGGCGUAAAGAGCUCGUAGGUGGUUCGUCACGCCGGAUGUGAAAAUCUGGGGCUCAACCCCAGACCUGCAUUCGAUACGGGCGAUCUAGAGUGUGGUAGGGGAGACUGGAAUUCCUGGUGUAGCGGUGGAAUGCGCAGAUAUCAGGAGGAACACCAAUGGCGAAGGCAGGUCUCUGGGCCAUUACUGACACUGAGGAGCGAAAGCGUGGGGAGCGAACAGGAUUAGAUACCCUGGUAGUCCACGCCGUAAACGGUGGGCACUAGUUGUGGGAACCUUCCACGGUUUCUGCGACGCAGCUAACGCAUUAAGUGCCCCGCCUGGGGAGUCGAUCGCAAGNUAAAACUCAAAGGAAUUGACGG
RNAcentral lists this ribosomal RNA (565 nucleotides) under uncultured bacterium. RNAcentral describes it as "bacterial SSU rRNA". It matches the Rfam family "Bacterial small subunit ribosomal RNA", at positions 338 to 916 of the family's 1533-position model. The record is from RNAcentral.